This 301-nucleotide ribosomal RNA is filed under the name uncultured bacterium. Its description in RNAcentral is "partial 16S ribosomal RNA". It matches the Rfam family "Bacterial small subunit ribosomal RNA", at positions 509 to 808 of the family's 1533-position model. The record is from RNAcentral.
CAGCCGCCGCGGGAAUACGUAGGUCCCGAGCGUUGUCCGGAUUUAUUGGGCGUAAAGGGAGCGCAGGCGGUUUAGUAAGUCUGAAGUUAAAGGCAUUGGCUCAACCAAUGUAUGCUUUGGAAACUGUUAGACUUGAGUGCAGAAGGGGAGAGUGGAAUUCCAUGUGUAGCGGUGAAAUGCGUAGAUAUAUGGAGGAACACCGGUGGCGAAAGCGGCUCUCUGGUCUGUCACUGACGCUGAGGCUCGAAAGCGUGGGUAGCGAACAGGAUUAGAUACCCCCGUAGUCCCUGUCUCUUAUACA